AGAGUUUGAUCCUGGCUCAGGAUGAACGCUAGCGGCAGGCCUAAUACAUGCAAGUCGAACGGAUAUAUGUUUUUCGGAAUAUAUAUUAGUGGCGCACGGGUGAGUAACACGUACAUAACUUGCCCUCAAGCGGGGGAUAGCCUUGGGAAACUGAGAGUAAUACCCCAUAGAAUUAUUGGACGGCAUCGUUUGAUAAUUAAAACUACGGUGCUUGGGGAUAGAUGUGCGUCUGAUUAGCUAGUUGGUGAGGUAACUGCUCACCAAGGCGACGAUCAGUAGGGGGCGUGAGAGCGUGGCCCCCCACACGGGUACUGAGACACGGACCCGACUCCUACGGGAGGCAGCAGUAAGGAAUAUUGGUCAAUGGAGGGAACUCUGAACCAGCCAUGCCGCGUGAAGGAUGACGGCCCUCUGGGUUGUAAACUUCUUUUGGAUGGGGCGAAAAAACGGGAUUUAUCCUGGACUGACGGUACCAUCAGAAUAAGCACCGGCUAACUCCGUGCCAGCAGCCGCGGUAAUACGGAGGGUGCAAGCGUUAUCCGGAAUCACUGGGUUUAAAGGGUGCGUAGGCGGUUGUAUAAGUCAGGGGUGAAAGGAUGCAGCUUAACUGUAUAAUUGCCUUUGAUACUGUAUGACUUGAAUAAGGUUGAGGUUGGCGGAAUGUGACAUGUAGCGGUGAAAUGCUUAGAUAUGUCAUGGAACACCGAUUGCGAAGGCAGCUGACUGGGCCUUUAUUGACGCUGAGGCACGAAAGCGUGGGUAGCGAACAGGAUUAGAUACCCUGGUAGU
This 789-nucleotide ribosomal RNA is filed under the name uncultured bacterium. Its description in RNAcentral is "bacterial SSU rRNA". It matches the Rfam family "Bacterial small subunit ribosomal RNA", at positions 8 to 794 of the family's 1533-position model. The record is from RNAcentral.